Molecule: ribosomal RNA, 245 nt
Filed under: uncultured bacterium
Lineage: Bacteria
Description: partial small subunit ribosomal RNA
Rfam family: Bacterial small subunit ribosomal RNA
Source: RNAcentral
AGAAUCAACGCUGGCGGCGUGCCUAACACAUGCAAGUCGGACGAGAAAGUGGAGCAAUCCAUGAGUAAAGUGGCGCACGGGUGAGUAACACGUGACUAACCUACCCUUGAGUGGGGGAUAACCUAGAGAAAUCUGGGCUAAUACCGCAUAAUACCUUCGGGUCAAAGGAGCAAUUCGCUUAAGGAGGGGGUCGCGGCCGAUUAGUUAGUUGGCGGGGUAAUGGCCCACCAAGACUAUGAUCGGUA